GGAAAAAGUAAAAAGGUUAGAACUGGAGGGAUAUCAUAUGGCCCAAUCAAUGUGAAUAAUAUUACACACAUAUAUAGUUAAGCUAUGCGAACAUAGUCCAGCUGUUGUUUUUAGUCUAAACCAACCCCCAUCAGCCUUCUAAAAGCUUGUACGGUUUCCAGAGCACACAGCACAGUUGCCACACCUGCACUGGCACAAAUCUUAUUCUAAGACUUUAUUUGGUAUGGUGGAGAAGGUGAUCGUAGUGGCCUAGAGCAGCUACCAAUGAGACCCAGAGGACCACCCGGACCGCCUGGUUUGGGCGGCCCUGGUCCGCCAGGACCUGGUCUGCCUCCUCUCUUCGGUGGCUUUUGUGAUGUCAUAGGUUCAUGUCUGAGUUUUCUGUGCUGCUGCUGGCUGUUACAAGACUGCUUUGGUGGUGGGCCAUCACCACCAGGGCCUCUGGGACCUCCUGGCCCACCAGGACCUGUGGGACCCCCUGGCCCACCAGGGCCACCUGGACCACCACCCCCGCCAUGAAUAAUGAAAUGAAUGAUGCAUGGAUAAUGGAUUCAUGGCAUGGCAUUGGCAAGGCAGCUGCUUGCUUAGCCAUAUAUAAUUGGGUUAUCUUAUCAGUUAAUUGUAAUGUAACAAUAUAUAUAUAUAUAUAUAUAUAUCGCAUUGUAAUGUGAUCAAUCUCUGAGAGUCAGGAGUGAGUGAGAGAGUCAUGGUCAUGGCUGAGUUUUAUUAGUCACUGUGUCUGUCUGUCUGUUUGUCUGUCAUUUGAGUUUGCCAGAGGCUUUUUAAUCAGCAUCUCUCUAUAUACCAUUCGGAAUAAAAUAAAAUAUAUUCAUUUAGCUCA
Prunus avium (sweet cherry) is the source of this 841-nucleotide long non-coding RNA. RefSeq lists it as uncharacterized. The record is from RefSeq and is a predicted model, not a curated record. Lineage: Eukaryota; Viridiplantae; Streptophyta; Magnoliopsida; Rosales; Rosaceae.